UACAGAGGUGGCAAGCGUUGUUCGGAAUUAUUGGGCGUAAAGGGCGCGUAGGCGGCCUGGCAAGUGGAUGGUGAAAUCCCUCGGCUUAACCGAGGAACUGCCAUCCAGACUGCUUGGCUUGAGACCGGGAGAGGUGAGUGGAAUUCCCAGUGUAGCGGUGAAAUGCGUAGAUAUUGGGAGGAACACCAGUGGCGAAGGCGGCUCACUGGACCGGUACUGACGCUGAGGCGCGAAAGCGUGGGGAGCAAACGGG
This 253-nucleotide ribosomal RNA is filed under the name uncultured bacterium. RNAcentral's name for it is "partial 16S ribosomal RNA". It matches the Rfam family "Bacterial small subunit ribosomal RNA", at positions 524 to 776 of the family's 1533-position model. The record is from RNAcentral.